CACGGACCAAGGAGUCCAACAUGUGCGCGAGUCUAAGGGUUGUCUAAACCUGGAGGCGAAAUGAAAGUGAGAAGCCCCUCUCGGGGGGCAGGCCGAUCCCUUGUCGGGGCUGUCCGUGGUGUGCUGGACUGCGGGCGACCUGGUUUCCCUGCGGCGAGCGGCUGCGGAGAGUUCCGGCGGCCCCGCCACCUUUAGGCGGCGGGGAUUUUGGGCGCAGGCCGAGGACUUGCCGUUGUGCGGCGCGGGCAACGGGCGGCUCCUUCGGGGGCUUCCUCAUCCCGACGUCCGCCGGCAAGUACCUGAGAGCGCAGCCGUUGGGACCCGAAAGAUGGUGAACUAUGCCUGGCGAGGACGAAGCCAGAGGAAACUCUGGUGGAGGUCCGAAGCAGUUCUGACGUGCAAAUCGAUUGUCAGAGCUGGGUAUAGGGGCGAAAGACUAAUCGAACCAUCUAGUAGCUGGUUCCCUCCGAAGUUUCCCUCAGGAUAGCUGGUGUUCAAAUGAUGAGUUUCAUCCGGUAAAGCGAAUGAUUAGAGGCCUUGGUGGUGCAAUGCCGUCAACCUAUUCUCAAACUUUAAAUGGGUGAGAUGUGGAGCUUGCUUGAGACGUGAAGCUUCAUGUCAGUUGAAUCAGAAUGCCUAGUGGGCCACU
Molecule: ribosomal RNA, 649 nt
Filed under: Macrobrachium callirrhoe
Lineage: Eukaryota; Metazoa; Arthropoda; Malacostraca; Decapoda; Palaemonidae
Description: eukaryotic LSU rRNA
Rfam family: Eukaryotic large subunit ribosomal RNA
Source: RNAcentral